UACGUAGGCAGCAAGCGUUGUUCGGAGUUACUGGGCGUAAAGAGUGCGUAGGUGGUGCCCUAAGUCUGUUGUGAAAUCUCCCGGCUUAACUGGGAGGGUGCGGUGGAAACUGGGGUGCUUGAGUGUGGGAGAGGUAAGUGGAAUUCCCGGUGUAGUGGUGAAAUGCGUAGAUAUCGGGAGGAACACCAGUGGCGAAGGCGACUACCUGGCCUGCUCUUGACGCUGAGGCGCGAAAGCUAGGGGAGCAAACGGG
This 253-nucleotide ribosomal RNA is filed under the name uncultured bacterium. RNAcentral describes it as "partial 16S ribosomal RNA". It matches the Rfam family "Bacterial small subunit ribosomal RNA", at positions 524 to 776 of the family's 1533-position model. The record is from RNAcentral.